UCUACUAUCUAAAUCUCCAAGGAGCUUCGGCUUCGGCGUUAUUUUUGAUCAUCAGCUUCGGCUUCGUCGUCCUACAUGAAUAAGAUCGUUGUAAGUCAAAAUCGAGCUUACAAGAAAAGGUAAACACAAGGUAUGGUUUCUUACUGGUUCAAGGUGGCUACGAGCUUCGUCUCCUGCCUUUUCUCGCCCACCUUUUGUCCAUAUCAUUUUUAUGAAUCUAUUCGAGAUACUUCGGGCAAGAUCAGGAAUGUCGUCCAGGAUUGAUGGCGACAAAGUGAAAUUUGGCCUAUUCACAAUCCUUCCAUGCUCGCAGCCAGCCUUCAGGAAAGCCGCAGCAGUGCCUCGAGAAGCCACCCAGGCACAGAAGUCACCAUGCCCAGCUAUGACUUCGUCGAGCUCGUCAAUCUCCCCCUCAAUAUGUUCGAAGGUUUUUGGCAGAUCUUCAGCUGAGGGGGUAAAUUUUCCACUACUGGCUCCAACCGAGUAAAAAAUCUUUCUUAGUCGUUGAAUGCACUUGUUGCUAAAUUCCAGGCAUUUUUCUUGAAGAUUUGUCAGUAGUUUUCUCAAAUCCGAAUUUUGCUGAGCUUCGGCUUCAAGUUUUGCAUUGAGAUCUUGUUUUUCCCGUUCGAACUGCUCAGACUGGCGGAGAAGCUUUGUGUUCAGUUCUGAUAUUUUUGCUUCAGCUUCCGCCAGUAAACCUUCGGCUGCCUGGAGCUCAAAGUUCUUUUUCUCAAAAGCAUCUGAUUGCUCCUUUAUUUUGUUUUCCAAAUUUCCAAUUAUAACUUCAUGCUUUUUAUCUUCAAGAUCUUGCUGCAUUUGCAGGGCUUUGCUCAAUAGCAUGCUCUACAUAAACACAACCUUCGUCAGACAUGUUUUUAUUAGAAGCAAUAAAAGUUAAGGGACAAGUCAUUCACCUUGAAGUUGGAGUAAAAUAAACUACCAACGACAUGUUGUCGUCGGUAGCGGCUGAUGUCUGUUUCUAGUUUCGGGAAUCCAAUACUCUUGGACAGAGUACUGAUAACUUUGGCCCCUGUUUGGUCCCGAAUACACUCUAAUUUCUCGUCAUCAACGCCUCCGAAGAGGAGUGCCCCAGGUUUGUAUCCACAGGAUUGGGCAUACUCUUUAAGCUCUUCUAUUUCAGCUUUCGUUAGAUGUUCUCCAACUAAGUUUUGGAACGCGAAGGCUUCGUUUUCUGAAGCUUCAUCAGCAAUUUCUUUUCCUUUCUUUGACGCUGCGGUCACAGUCUCUUCGGCAGCAGUGGCAGCUUCUUCUGCAGCCAUGUCUAGCAGCAUUUGGUCAAUAUGUUCAAUUGUGCUCUCUAAAUUCAAAUCUUCAGCUGAGGUAACUUCGGCGGCUGCGGCCUCCGAAGGUGCAAUUUCAAUAUCUGCCCCCUCUGCAGCUGCUCGUGUUUUUUGGGCCGAAGCUCUUGGCGGCGUUUUGUCAAUUACCUCUGUCACGGUAAUGAUUCUUUGUUUCCUUGCCUUGAUUGUUUUCUUCGAUUUCUCGGGCUCCUUGUCCUUCUGAAAAAACUUUGUCAGUUGAGGACCCAGUGGACUUAGCUUCGCAGGUAAGGAUUCAGUCAUUACCUUCAGAAUUUCUUCAACAACAGCAGCAGAAGGUGAUGCGGGAGUUUCUUCUGCUUCGGAUAUUUGUUGCUUCGGAGAAGAAGCUUUCCUUUUCUUCGGAAUUUUCUUCGUUACUGGCUCUUUUUCACCUUCAUCUAAGGCUUCAGUUACCCUUUUCCUUUUUUGGCCUCCGGCACCUUUGUUCAGAUUUUCGUAGUCUGGGUAUUCGAAACCCAAGGCGUCCAACACUCGAUUUAGCCUUCGUUUCGGACGAGUGCCGAAGGCUGCGGUCAUCAAUUGAUCUUCUUUUUUGGAAUAAUUGCCAAGUAUUUCAUUACACAUUGCUUCAAUCGUAUCUAGCCACUCUUGGCAAGGUGCUUUAAAGUACUUUUUAAACUUGAAAUAGUAAGGUAAACGUACGAGUUCACCUUCUUUCUUUUCCCCCUGUAGCUUCGGCAUUUCCCAUUCUUUCAAACUGGGAAAAACUUUGAAUGCUAAAAACUCUUGAACCAGGUCCCUUGUGCUGAUAUGCUCUGCAAUAAUUCUGAAUUCACUCAUUGCUUGUUGUGUUGGACCUUCGGGUGUCAUAUUGCAGCGAGGUCGUGUUUCUCCGAAGAUUAAUUCCAGCGGGCUUUGUACAAGCUUUUCCUUGUCGUCAUCAACCUUGACAUAGAACCACUCUGAUUUCCAGCCUGCUGCCCACUUGCUUCGGUAGCUAAUUACAGGGAACUUUGUAGUUUUCCGAUAUGCAAAGUUAUAGCAACCAAAAUUAUCGUGCAAUCCAUCUUUUCUAGCCUUUGUUUGAUAAUGUAGCUCGUGAACCCGGCAGAAGCUGUCUGCAAAUGGUUCCACUGCUUGGCUUCGGAGUGCCCAGAUAUAAACAAUAAGCCUAACGAUAGCGUUAGGGGUCAGCUGAUGAAAAUAGAUACCGAACCUUUUCAGUACCUCUCCUAUAAUCCCAUGUAGGGGGAACCUUAAUCCAGCCUUUAGAAAACUUUUAAAAAUAACAAUCUCAUCCUUCUCUGGCUUCGGGGUAGUCUCUUCUCCACCGAAGCGCAACAGCUUCUUCUGAUUUUCAGUGAAAAAGCCCGAUUUUACCAUCUUGGAUAGAUCAGUCUUCGAAACAGUAGAUUUUCCGAAGUCCAAGUGGCUCGGCUUGCUUGGCAUGGCAAUGCGGUAAUCAUCUUCGGAAUCAGUUUCCUCAAUAUCUUCUUCCUCUCCUUCAGCGAUUGCUUGUUCUGUAUCAUCAUGAGGGAUCUUUCCCGAAGUCACUAGACACGAUCGUUGCAUGGCUUCGGAGAUGGGGAGAGUCUCCGAAGCUUCAGUUUCUUCUCCCUCGCGCUCAACCCUGGCGGUAGAGCGGACUCUGGCCAUUCAAUUAUGAACUUGUGAAACUUUAAAAUUUUCUUCCUCCGAAGCAGGUUUCAAACUGCAGCUUCGUUCGGUUCUAACAGACAAGCUUCGGUGAUGGUUAAAAAUUUUGGCAGGAAAACAGUGCAAAUAGCAAUGAAUGCUGUGGUAACUUCACACCUACUCGUCUGUUUAUAUAGUGCUGCAGGUAAGAAGGCGAAGCGCUAGAGUUUUUACACCAGGCGCACACCCGCUUGCGCUCGCUGCGCAGUGGACCGCAGGGACAAACAGUAAACUCUGCAAGGUGGGACCGCUACGUGCUGAGAAAUUAAAUCGUUUCUCGGCAACGAGCUCAGGGAAGGUGUUUUUUGGACCUUCGGCUCCCCGAAGCUUAAGAGACUUUUUUCACGGAUCAAGCUCGUUACGAAAAACGAUCUAGCACCGCGAAAGGGGCUACUGUUGGGUCUAUGCUUCGUCGCCGAAGGUCUUCAAGGGAGAAGCUCAAAAGAUACAAAGGUUGACACAGCGCCGAAGCUGUGAAGCAGGAAAGCUUCGGCAUGUUCGCAGAAAAGGGAACCGACUUAAAGAUGAAAAGGCCAUUUAGACCUCGAUAGAAUGCUAUGGAAUUAUCACCAAAUGUAAAGGGCAUGUAUGUAAUUUUGUAUGGGUCGUACCCCGUGCCUAUAAAUAGGUGAACAGUACCCCCGUACUGUUCACGGGGACUUGGCAUUUGCUUUUGCGUCACACCUGUAUUUUCAUCUCCUUCUAAGCCGAAGCAUUUGAGAACAAGUCCCCAACAUAAAGGGUCCUCGAUCAACAAGCCUACAUCGACAAGGUCCUUAAUCGACUCAGACGGAGACACUACACCGAGACUCCUUUCUCGUGCAAGUCACCCGCCCGGUCUCAGCUUAAUCAUUUCAAACCCAAAGUUUGGUACCUGGCAGAGGUACAUCUUUUCCGAUGUUGAACCUAUCAAGGCCUUUGAUAGAUCCAUCAUCAAGUUUUAUUUUCGAAAACAUCCCACCCACUUUUGCCACAUCAUAUUUUGUAAAAACAAAACAUUUUGUUUUUCUAAAGCAAGGCUAAGCAUCAAAAUCUUUUGUAAAACGGGUGAUCAAGGAAGGUAAUCAAAUUCAAGGAAGGUAAUGCAGGAAUUGUUUUAUCAAUCAACUCCUAUCACCUAAUGCAUCAAGCAAGUGAGAAAGAUUUUAAAAACAACAAGGAGGGUGGCAAAUGCACCGGGGCUUGCCUGAGUAACACUAGGUUAGUGUUGUUAGUCGAUGAGCACUUGACGACCAUCUUCAGGUUUGUCCAUCAGCAUCGCCUUGCGAAGAAGCCCAUGCUUGGGGUCGACUUGGCUCGUCUUCCGCAUCACGCGAUUAAUUAACGUACCUGAAUGAAAUGCAUUAUGCACAUGAAUGCAUAUAGACGAAAAUAUUACGAACCUAAAUAGUGCUACGCCGACAAGAAUUAAAUACUUAGUGACGAAGCGUC
Molecule: long non-coding RNA, 4409 nt
Filed under: Zea mays
Lineage: Eukaryota; Viridiplantae; Streptophyta; Magnoliopsida; Poales; Poaceae
Description: long non-coding RNA (ZMAY_LNC001934)
Source: RNAcentral